Long non-coding RNA from Zonotrichia albicollis (white-throated sparrow), 817 nucleotides. RefSeq lists it as uncharacterized. NCBI's taxonomy places the organism in Eukaryota, Metazoa, Chordata, Aves, Passeriformes, Passerellidae. The record is from RefSeq and is a predicted model, not a curated record.
GGGCCCUCCUGCCUUAAAAGUGGUGGAGAUUUAGGGUUUGGUGCUUCAAAACCCUGAAUACCCCAUAAAAAAGGGUUUUCCUUUCCUUCCUUUCUAUCCUUUCCUUCCUUGCAGCAUCUCAUCCCUGGAGAUGAUUUAUCAUCUAAUGAUUUAUUAGGGUUGGCUGCUGUGGGAGUGAUGCUGGAUGAAUGCUAACUCUCCUGCAUCCCCUAAAUGUGGGGAAAAAAUUUUUUUUGGGAGUCAGGGAAGGGCAGGGACAUCCAGGAUGGGUCCUGGUUCAUCAGCUGAUGCUGCUGCCUCUGAGAUUUGGUGCCCUUGCUGCUGGGCACAUCAAGAGCCAUGGCUGUGAUUUGAUACAAUUUGAGAAAGCCUUAAAUGCUGAGGGGAGUGAGGAGAAGGGAUUUUAGAUGCUUUCAGAGAGAAUGGACUAUCAGCAAUCCCAGGACCUGCAGUACCAGCUGGAAAUCACCCAAACCCAGGAGUUGUGUUGUUUUUAUUCAGUCAUCCUCAGUCCCUGGAGAGGAUCUUCCUUCCUGCCCAGGUGAUGGGGAGUUGGGAGAGCACAGCCUGAACUUUUGGGUGAGAAGCCUCUGAUACACCAAGGUUUUAGCCAAAAUCAACUGCUUGAGCUUCAGUUUCCCCUUCCUGAACCACUUUCUGCUCUGUCUUUGGCCUGAAAUUCUCAGAUGCUGUAUUUAAAACAAUUUCUUUGGUGAACUGGAACAUCCAAGAGAUAUGUGAGGUUUAUUUUUUGCUCUUUUUGUGUUUUAAAAUGAAUAACUUUGCAUCACGGUGAUGAAUAAAUGAAGCAAAAUAA